CAGCCGCCGCGGUAAUACGGAGGGGGCUAGCGUUGUUCGGAAUUACUGGGCGUAAAGCGCACGUAGGCGGCUUGGUAAGUUAGAGGUGAAAGCCUGGAGCUCAACUCCAGAAUUGCCUUUAAGACUGCCGAGCUAGCAGGUGAGAGAGGUAAGUGGAAUUCCGAGUGUAGAGGUGAAAUUCGUAGAUAUUCGGAAGAACACCAGUGGCGAAGGCGGCUCACUGGCUCAUACUGGACGCUGAGGUGCGAAAGCGUGGGGAGCAAACAGGAUUAGAUACCCCGGUAGUCCCUGUCUCUUAUAC
Molecule: ribosomal RNA, 301 nt
Filed under: uncultured bacterium
Lineage: Bacteria
Description: partial 16S ribosomal RNA
Rfam family: Bacterial small subunit ribosomal RNA
Source: RNAcentral